RNAcentral lists this ribosomal RNA (465 nucleotides) under Vreelandella stevensii. RNAcentral's name for it is "partial 16S ribosomal RNA". It matches the Rfam family "Bacterial small subunit ribosomal RNA", at positions 338 to 795 of the family's 1533-position model. The record is from RNAcentral. Lineage: Bacteria; Pseudomonadati; Pseudomonadota; Gammaproteobacteria; Oceanospirillales; Halomonadaceae.
CCUACGGGGGGCAGCAGUGGGGAAUAUUGGACAAUGGGCGAAAGCCUGAUCCAGCCAUGCCGCGUGUGUGAAGAAGGCCUUCGGGUUGUAACGCACUUUCAGUGGGGAAGAAAGCCUUGGGGCUAAUACCCUCGAGGAAGGACAUCACCCACAGAAGAAGCACCGGCUAACUCCGUGCCAGCAGCCGCGGUAAUACGGAGGGUGCGAGCGUUAAUCGGAAUUACUGGGCGUAAAGCGCGCGUAGGCGGUCUGAUAAGCCGGUUGUGAAAGCCCCGGGCUCAACCUGGGAACGGCAUCCGGAACUGUCAGGCUAGAGUGCAGGAGAGGAAGGUAGAAUUCACGGUGUAGCGGUGAAAUGCGUAGAGAUCGGGAGGAAUACCAGUGGCGAAGGCGGCCUUCUGGACUGACACUGACGCUGAGGUGCGAAAGCGUGGGUAGCAAACAGGAUUAGAUACCCUAGUAGUC